UUGUGUGAGUGCGUGUGUCCGUCAACAAUUUGUUUGUGUAGACAGUAGAGGUCACAGUUUUCAUCCAAUCUUUAUGAAAUUUGGUCAGUAUGUUUAUCUUGAUGAAAUCUGGGUUGGGAUUGUAUUUGGGUCAUCUGGGGUCAAAAACUAGGUCACUAGGUCAAAUAAUAGAAAAACCUUGUGUAGACAGUAGAGGUCACAGUUUUCAUCCAAUCUUUAUGAAAUUUGGUCAGAAUGUUUAUCUUGAUGAAAUCUGGGUUGGGAUUGUAUUUGGGUCAUCUGGGGUCAAAAACUAGGUCACUAGGUCAAAUAAUAGAAAAACCUUGUGUAGACAAUAGAGGUCACAGUUUUCAUCUAAUCUUUAUGAAAUUUGGUCAGAAUGUUUAUCUUGAUGAAAUCUGGGUUGGGAUUGUAUUUGGGUCAUCUGGGGUCAAAAACUAGGUCACUAGGUCAAAUAAUAGAAAAACCUUGUGUAGACAGUAGAGGUCACAGUUUUCAUCCAAUCUUUAUGAAAUUUGGUCAGAAUGUUUAUCUUGAUGAAAUCUGGAUUGGGAUUGUAUUUGGGUCAUCUGGGGUCAAAAACUAGGUCACUAGGUCAAAAACUUGGUCAAAUAAUAGAAAAACCUUGUUUAGACAGUAGAGGUCACAGUUUUCAUCCAAUCUUUAUGAAAUUUGGUCAGAAUGUGUAUCUUGAUAAAAUCGGGUUUGGAUUGUAUUUGGGUAAUCUGG
Long non-coding RNA from Dreissena polymorpha, 729 nucleotides. RefSeq lists it as uncharacterized. The record is from RefSeq and is a predicted model, not a curated record. The transcript has 3 exons. NCBI's taxonomy places the organism in Eukaryota, Metazoa, Mollusca, Bivalvia, Myida, Dreissenidae.